Molecule: long non-coding RNA, 681 nt
Organism: Thunnus maccoyii (southern bluefin tuna)
Lineage: Eukaryota; Metazoa; Chordata; Actinopteri; Scombriformes; Scombridae
Exons: 4
Source: RefSeq, a predicted model, not a curated record
UAGAGAAAACACAAACUCUCAAUACAAUCGUCCAAGAAUAACCAUGAUGACAACACCCUAAGCUAAUCAGCAAAGGCAGUCCUCUAAACCAACCACCCAAACAGAGGUGUAACACAGGAAACCCCAACGAACACAAAGAGUCCAGAGAGCAAACAGAAAGUCCAGGCAGGAUGUGACAUGUUGAGAUAUUUCAGUCUGGACCAAAGCGUCGGAUCAUCCAACAGACCCACGCUGCCGUCCACCGAGCCGAGCUGCGUUCAACUGAGAGACAUUCUAUCUGUGUCAAAACUUAAUCUGUCAUCUGCGUUGACGCCCACAAUGUCGCCUGUCGCGCCACCACAUACCCGACGUGCCUGCACUUUCAUUUUCAGAUCUGCAGAAGCCAUAAUUGAAAGAACCUGAAAGGGGUGUGAAUUCUAAGAAACGAGAUCGAAAGGAGCAAACAGACGGACGCCAUGAUGGAUGAGUGACAGGAAGUAAACAGAGACAGACGGAGUCCAUGUUGAUGCAGGAUGACGUCACCAGAACUGUCCAAUCAAUACGACACUCUGACACUCGUACUGGUGGGGAAAGUUUUCCUGAGAUACUAUUAAUCUAAAGAGAAGAGAGUCCUCGUCCUUCCAUCAAAGGACGAGUUCACAGUUUUUCAAGUGUGUCUUAAAACAACAGUCAGGAGCCUAA